This 1247-nucleotide ribosomal RNA is filed under the name uncultured bacterium. RNAcentral's name for it is "bacterial SSU rRNA". It matches the Rfam family "Bacterial small subunit ribosomal RNA", at positions 153 to 1399 of the family's 1533-position model. The record is from RNAcentral.
GAAACGACUGCUAAGACUGGAUAGGGAGAUAAAAGGCAUCUUUUAUCUUUUAAAAGACCUAGUAAUAGGUAUGCUUUAGGAGGGGCUUGCGCCAUAUUAGUUAGUUGGUAGGGUAAUGGCCUACCAAGACGAUGAUGUGUAGCUGGACUGAGAGGUUGAACAGCCACAUUGGGACUGAGACACGGCCCAAACUCCUACGGGAGGCAGCAGUAGGGAAUUUUCGGCAAUGGAGGAAACUCUGACCGAGCAACGCCGCGUGAAUGACGAAGUACUUCGGUAUGUAAAGUUCUUUUAUCAAGGAAGAAAAGCAAAUGGCGAACCAUUUGUUUGCCGGUACUUGAUGAAUAAGCCCCGGCUAAUUAUGUGCCAGCAGCCGCGGUAAGACAUAAGGGGCAAGUGUUAUCCGGAAUUAUUGGGCGUAAAGGGUGCGUAGGCGGUCUAGUAAGUCAGUGGUGUAAUGGCAACGCUUAACGUUGUCCGGCUAUUGAAACUGCUAAACUUGAGUUAGAUAGAGGCGAGUGGAAUUCCAUGUGUAGCGGUAAAAUGCGUAAAUAUAUGGAGGAACACCAGAGGCGUAGGCGGCUCGCUGGGUCUUAACUGACGCUGAGGCACGAAAGCGUGGGGAGCAAACAGGAUUAGAUACCCUGGUAGUCCACGCCGUAAACGAUGAGUACUAAGUGUCGGGUUAAACCGGUACUGAAGUUAACACAUUAAGUACUCCGCCUGAGUAGUACGUACGCAAGUAUGAAACUUAAAGGAAUUGACGGGACUCCGCACAAGCGGUGGAUCAUGUUGUUUAAUUCGAAGAUACCCGAAAAACCUUACCAGGUCUUGACAUGUUUUUGCAAAAUGAUAGUAAUAUCGUGGAGGUUACCAGAAACACAGGUGGUGCAUGGUUGUCGUCAGCUCGUGUCGUGAGAUGUUAGGUUAAGUCCUAAAACGAGCGAAACCCUUAUCGUUAGUUGCCAGCACGUUAUGGUGGGGACUUUAACGAGACUGCCAAUGAUAAAUUGGAGGAAGGUGAGGAUCACGUCAAAUCAGCAUGCCCCUUAUGACCUGGGCUACAAACGUGGUACAAUGGCUGUUACAAAGGGUAGCUGAAACGCAAGUUCUUGGCCAAUCCCCAAAAACAGUCCCAGUCCGGAUUGAAGUCUGCAACUCGACUUCAUGAAGUUGGAAUCGCUAGUAAUCGCGAAUCAGCAUGUCGCGGUGAAUACGUUCGCGGGGUUUGUACACACCGCCCGUCA